Homo sapiens (human) is the source of this 674-nucleotide long non-coding RNA. Ensembl annotates it as LMX1A antisense RNA 1. Its record names the gene LMX1A-AS1. Lineage: Eukaryota; Metazoa; Chordata; Mammalia; Primates; Hominidae. The record is from Ensembl.
AUGAAAAGGGUGUCUUUUCCCUCUGCCUCACCCCUCUCAAUAGUACAAAUAAAACCCCCCACAAGAUUAAAGAAGAGAGUUAAAGCAAGAAUCCUCAUGACAAGGGGUGGCUACUCUGGCAUUUUCAAGUCUUGAGGUUGCUGUUUUCCAGGGGGUGAUGUGCAGGGGCAGACCUGCCUGACUUGGAUAUCAGCUUCUCCAUGAAAAUAUGCAGUGCCUAAAAUUUACACUGAUCGAUUUGUUCACGAGAAAGGACAUUUCUAAAAGAGCCAGGAGACUGCCCCCAGAACCAAGAGGAGUACUGGAGAGCAGAAGAUGAAGAAAAACCUUUAAACAGCAGAGCAGUGAAGUGGAGGGAGAGGCGGCCCCUCUCCUUUGCCAGAGACUCCCACUCCCAGAUGCAGGCUGGAGCGAUCCCUCAUAAUUUAAGCUGACACCCCUCAGCGGAGAUGAAAGGAACACCACUCGCUGCUCUCCAACAACAAAUGUCAGCAUCCCUGGAGGCCGUUUAGACACAAACGCAGCAUAAAUCUGACUCCUAGUGGGGAAGUCCAGAGAUUAAGUCUCCACACACAGCCUACCAGAGUGAAAUGAAUUUGCUUGGCACAAAGUUUGAACAUGUUUCUCAGGGCCUUUCUUUCCCCUUUCUUGUAAAAAAAAAAUCUGGAAUGGUU